This 84-nucleotide transfer RNA is filed under the name Bacteroidales bacterium. RNAcentral describes it as "tRNA-Leu". It matches the Rfam family "tRNA". From Rfam's summary of the family: Transfer RNA (tRNA) molecules are approximately 80 nucleotides in length. Their secondary structure includes four short double-helical elements and three loops (D, anti-codon, and T loops). The record is from RNAcentral. Lineage: Bacteria; Pseudomonadati; Bacteroidota; Bacteroidia; Bacteroidales.
GCCCAGGUGGCGGAAUUGGUAGACGCGUUGGUCUCAAACACCAAUGGGGUAAUUCCCGUACCGGUUCGACUCCGGUCCUGGGCA